Molecule: ribosomal RNA, 292 nt
Filed under: uncultured Acidobacteriota bacterium
Lineage: Bacteria; Pseudomonadati; Acidobacteriota
Description: uncultured Acidobacteria bacterium partial 16S ribosomal RNA
Source: RNAcentral
GGACUACCCGGGUUUCUAAUCCUGUUUGCUACCCACGCUUUCGUGUCUCAGCGUCAGUUACGGUCCAGAAAGCCGUCUACACCACCGGUGUUCCUCCUGAUAUCUACGCAUUUCACCGCUACACCAGGAGUUCCACUUUCCUCUCCCGCACUCGAGUCGCUCAGUAUUCGGCGCACCCUCCCAGUUGAGCCGGGAGAUUUCACACCAAACUUAAACAACCGCCUACACACCCUUUACGCCCAGUAACUCCGAACAUCGCUCGCUGCCUACGUAUUACCGCGGCGGCUGGCAC